GAUGAACGCUGGCGGCGUGCCUAAUACAUGCAAGUCGAGCGAAUGGAUUAAGAGCUUGCUCUUAUGAAGUUAGCGGCGGACGGGUGAGUAACACGUGAGUAACCCGCCCAUAAGACUGGGAUAACUCCGGGAAACCGGGGCUAAUACCGGAUAACAUUUUGAACCGCAUGGUUCGAAAUUGAAAGGCGGCUUCGGCUGUCACUGAUGGAUGGACCCGCGUCGCAUUAGCUAGUUGGUGAGGUAACGGCUCACCAAGGCAACGAUGCGUAGCCGACCUGAGAGGGUGAUCGGCCACACUGGGACUGAGACACGGCCCAGACUCCUACGGGAGGCAGCAGUAGGGAAUCUUCCGCAAUGGACGAAAGUCUGACGGAGCAACGCCGCGUGAGUGAUGAAGGCUUUCGGGUCGUAAAACUCUGUUGUUAGGGAAGAACAAGUGCUAGUUGAAUAAGCUGGCACCUUGACGGUACCUAACCAGAAAGCCACGGCUAACUACGUGCCAGCCGCCGCCGUAA
This 515-nucleotide ribosomal RNA is filed under the name uncultured bacterium. RNAcentral describes it as "partial 16S ribosomal RNA". It matches the Rfam family "Bacterial small subunit ribosomal RNA", at positions 28 to 523 of the family's 1533-position model. The record is from RNAcentral.